GUGCUCGCUUCAAGCAGCACAUAUACUAAAAUUGGAACGAUACAGAGAAGAUUAGCAUGGC
RNAcentral lists this small nuclear RNA (61 nucleotides) under Sorex araneus (European shrew). Lineage: Eukaryota; Metazoa; Chordata; Mammalia; Eulipotyphla; Soricidae. The record is from RNAcentral.